UCCUCAGUAGCUCAGCUGGUUAGAGCAUCUGACUGUUAAUCAGAGGGUCACUGGUUCAAGUCCAGUCUGAGGAG
This 74-nucleotide transfer RNA is filed under the name Parafilimonas terrae. It matches the Rfam family "tRNA". From Rfam's summary of the family: Transfer RNA (tRNA) molecules are approximately 80 nucleotides in length. Their secondary structure includes four short double-helical elements and three loops (D, anti-codon, and T loops). Lineage: Bacteria; Pseudomonadati; Bacteroidota; Chitinophagia; Chitinophagales; Chitinophagaceae. The record is from Rfam by way of RNAcentral. RNAcentral also lists the same sequence under 8 other names.